UGGGGAAUUUUGGACAAUGGGCGAAAGCCUGAUCCAGCAAUGCCGCGUGUGUGAAGAAGGCCUUCGGGUUGUAAAGCACUUUUGUCCGGAAAGAAAUCCUUGGCUCUAAUACAGUCGGGGGAUGACGGUACCGGAAGAAUAAGCACCGGCUAACUACGUGCCAGCAGCCGCGGUAAUACGUAGGGUGCAAGCGUUAAUCGGAAUUACUGGGCGUAAAGCGUGCGCAGGCGGUUUGCUAAGACCGAUGUGAAAUCCCCGGGCUCAACCUGGGAACUGCAUUGGUGACUGGCAGGCUAGAGUAUGGCAGAGGGGGGUAGAAUUCCACGUGUAGCAGUGAAAUGCGUAGAGAUGUGGAGGAAUACCGAUGGCGAAGGCAGCCCCCUGGGCCAAUACUGACGCUCAUGCACGAAAGCGUGGGGGAGCAAAACAGGAUUAGAUACCCUGGUAGUCCACGCCCUAAACGAUGUCAACUAGUUGUUGGGGAUUCAUUCCUUAGUAACGUAGCUAACGCGUGAAGUUGACCGCCUGGGGAGUACGGUCGCAAGAUUAAAACUUAAAUGAAUUGACGGGGUCAUAGCUGUUUCCU
Molecule: ribosomal RNA, 586 nt
Filed under: uncultured bacterium
Lineage: Bacteria
Description: partial 16S ribosomal RNA
Rfam family: Bacterial small subunit ribosomal RNA
Source: RNAcentral